RNAcentral lists this ribosomal RNA (440 nucleotides) under uncultured bacterium. Its description in RNAcentral is "partial 16S ribosomal RNA". It matches the Rfam family "Bacterial small subunit ribosomal RNA", at positions 338 to 795 of the family's 1533-position model. The record is from RNAcentral.
CCUACGGGAGGCAGCAGUGGGGAAUAUUGCACAAUGGGGGAAACCCUGAUGCAGCGACGCCGCGUGAGUGAUGAAGUUUUUCGGUAUGUAAAGCCCUAUCAGCAGGGAAGAAAAUGACGGUAUCUGACUAAGAAGCCCCGGCUAACUACGUGCCAGCAGCCGCGGUAAUACGGAGGGGGCAAGCGUUACCCGGAUUUACUGGGCGUAAAGGGAGCGUAGACGGGAGCACAAGUCUGAAGUGAAAUGCCGUGGCUUAACCCCAGAACUGCUUUGGAAACUGUGCAGCUAGAGUGCGGGAGAGGUAAGUGGAAUUCCUGGUGUAGCGGUGAAAUCCGUAGAGAUUAAGAGGAACACCAGUGGCGAAGGCGGCUUACUGGACUGUAACUGACGUUGAGGCGCGAAAGCGUGGGGAGCAAACAGGAUUAGAUACCCUUGUAGUC